AGCAGUCUAAGCUGUUGGUUGCUGCAAUUUUAGGCGUCGGCACUUAUGCAGAGGCGUAGGAAGGGGGGGGGGCAAGGGGGGCAACCGCCCCCUCAAGAAGAUGUUGAGGAGGCAAUGAGAAUGUGAACCUUUACGUUAGCAUGGAGUCCACACCACCACACACACAUCUUCCAUAUUUCAUCAGACUGCAAAUCUUUAUUUUCGGCCUACAUUCAGUCCCUAUGGCAACGCCACUGGAACACUCUGGGCCAAAACAAGUUAUAUGCCACCCUUCCCUGCCUUUCCGACCGCCUACCUUCUUGCCGCUCUACGAGACGGGAGGAUGUAGGACACACCUAUGCCAAGCAAGGACACCUCGUAAGGUGUGCAGCGGACUUCUAUAAUGAACGGGCGUAGGGUGACCGAUGCUCUCCCCUUCUCUGAGAGAUCCCUUGCAACGACACCUACCACUCGCAUUCCAACCUGACCUUGAUCUAUGUCCGUCAUGACAUAAAUGGUCCGCGGUUCACAGGUCUACUGAUUCCAGGGGAGAUAAACGGGGUGAGACUUCUUGGCCUUUUGUCAACCCGACGGUCCAGAGGCCGACUACUUCGUCUCGACAUACCUCACCGCAAAUACGUCCCCACCCGUUUCACCUUCUGACAGUCUGCUUACCAGCGCGUCCGCCUGUUUCGUGGAGGGAACAGAAGUGAGACACCAACACUAUAGCCCUAUACUAGUUAUCACACGACACAGCCUCCAUAUAUCAUUUGUGACUAUUGUUGAUAUGGUGCUCUAGAAAAUAAAAACUAAAAGCACACUA
Pomacea canaliculata is the source of this 802-nucleotide long non-coding RNA. RefSeq lists it as uncharacterized. Lineage: Eukaryota; Metazoa; Mollusca; Gastropoda; Architaenioglossa; Ampullariidae. The transcript is spliced from 2 exons. The record is from RefSeq and is a predicted model, not a curated record.